This is a transfer RNA of 89 nucleotides. It matches the Rfam family "tRNA". Rfam says of the family: Transfer RNA (tRNA) molecules are approximately 80 nucleotides in length. Their secondary structure includes four short double-helical elements and three loops (D, anti-codon, and T loops). The record is from Rfam.
GCAUCAGUGGUUUAGUGGUAAAAUCCAUCGUUGCCAAUUUCGAAAGAAACAACGUCGAUGGGCCCCGUGUUCGAUUCACGGCUGAUGCA